ACAUACAGACACAUUUGAUAUGACAUUCGUAGCGCCCAAUAAACGGCUCUAGGCAUUCGUAAACCACGUUUCAAAUAUGAGAAAAUUAACGUGUAGUUACCAG
This is a long non-coding RNA of Alosa sapidissima (American shad), 103 nucleotides long. RefSeq lists it as uncharacterized. The transcript is spliced from 3 exons. Lineage: Eukaryota; Metazoa; Chordata; Actinopteri; Clupeiformes; Clupeidae. The record is from RefSeq and is a predicted model, not a curated record.